CUCUAUCUAGCUCUAUUCCUUUUAUCAGCAACACCUCUUCUUCAUCCUCUUUCUCCUUCUUGCUUCUUGAUUUCUUUGGCCUCGGAACUUCUACUCUUAUUACUGAGUUAAGAGGUUUUGGGAAGCCUCCACUGCUGCUGAUCGUCGUCUUUGGGAGUUCCGCCGCUUUCGCUACUCCCGACUUGGAACUUUUGGUGGUCGUCUUCGCUUUGGGCUGCGUACUUUUUUUUAGCCAUGGAAUAGGAAUAUCCUGAUAUUUGUAUCUCAGCUUGAGAUGGUCGAGGCAGUCUCGGACCUUGACGCGAACAAGUUGGGCGUUCUCGUCGUAGAAGACGAACCCGGCGUUUAGCCAAUCUGGGUCCGUGAAUUCCGUUCUAUUUUUACCUCCUAUAGCUUUCCAUAGCGUCCACAUACGGUCGACGUUGGAGUGGUGACCGAAAAAUAUGGGGUCUCUGCCGGCAGUAUAGAAGUUUCCCAUGUCCUCAUGAGGCUCGUCAAAAAGUCCAGUCCAUAUGUGGACUGGACCAUGUGGGACGUUCUCAAUGGUACCCGGUCCGGGGUCAGGCUGAUCGCCAGCACGGUAUGGGGCACCAAAGAAUAGCUUAGCAGUCGUGGCACCCGACACAACUUGCCGGUACAUGAUUGACAGGUUGUUGGCAACUAAUUCCGAAACUGGGAUUGUGGGUUCGGUGAAAUCGUAGUCGAGAUCGAUUACAGUCGGAGGCAGGUGGUUGGCGUUGCGCUUCGCGUCGUAGAGUGUUGAUGUGGAAUCAGCAUAGAUGCCCGGCAUUUGCAUUCCAGGAGGAGGGGAAUCCCAGCUCCAAUAGGGCAAAGCGAAGGUGGGAUCGUUAAUCAGUUUUGCAAGAAUUCUCUCAUGAAAGUAGCAAUAGAAACGGUGGAAAGGGAAGAAAAGCCAUGAAAAAUGAACCUGGAGCUCUAGGUCCGGAAACCCAACCUGAUCAUAAGCCCCAUCGCAAUAGGCGCAAUGGACAUUGGCCUGCUGCAUGAAGCUCCGUGGAUCAUCAUCAGGAAGAGCUUUCAUUAGCUCAAUGGCCUUUUUAUACUUGGCUAUGUACUCUUUGCUGACCAAGUGAGCAGCUGGCCUAAUGCGCAUGGGGGAAUCUGGGGAAGGUAGCUGGAAAUCUAUAAUCUUUGUGGUGGCUGGCGGGCAACAAUUUGUGGGCGUUACACCCUCAGGCACGGUGGCGGCACCACACUUGUUUACAUCCGGUGCCUGGAUGGGAGCCCCAAAGGCUAAUGGCUCAGUGGCGCCGAGGCCGCCAGCGGCACCAUACAGCCCUCCUAUGCCAAGAAGCACAUUCCUCCUAUCUAACUUCCCUGGGGAAGUUUCUCGAAUGUCGGAGGUAGAAUCCGAGUUUGGAUCACCAUUUGUAGAAUUGCACGACACUUUACUAGGAGCAGAUCUGUGGUUUCGAUUUCUGACUCCCCCGAGAAACCCUGUGAAACAAGGGAGAAGGUGACAAGGCCGAAAUGUUGGAGGUGGUGACGGUGGCGGUGGCGGUGGCGGUGGAGGUUGUGAGCUGCCAAGGCAAAGAAGCCAUAGCUUUAGAGGAGUUACGGGUGAUAAGUGAGACCGCUCUAUGGCCUCAGUCUCUGUACAGAAUGAACUGGGGUAGGUAGUACGUAUUCUUACCUUAGGGAUGUCGAGAAAACACUUGCCGUAGAAAAGUAAAUAAAUAAAAAGCUGAAAAGGACAAGGAAAACUGAUUUUCUGCACUGUAUAGGCCCCCCAUGGAAAUCUCCCAUUAUCCAUUUGGAAUCAUCCUAUUCCUUGCUUUAUCUUCAAUAUUGAUAAAUGCUGCUUCUUCAUGGAGUUAACAGCAACGAAAAAUAGUUCCUUAAUUAAUUAUUUGUCGAGAUUAAGAACAGACACUUCGAUUUUCCUCAAACAAAACACCAUGCACGUAUCUCUUUGUUGGAAACUUACACAUUUAGCUUCGCCAUUGAUAACACAAACACCCACUGCCUGCAUCUUCAUUUAUCACGUAACUGCAUAAAUGCUUAUUUAAAUUACAUGAAUAUAUAAUUUUAAUCUCAAAAAAAAAUGCAGCAACUCCCCACAUGAUUUUUUUUUCCCUUUUUUGUUUUUCUCUCUUGAUAUUUAGAGAUAAAGGCAGCUAAGAUUCGCCACGUUAUAUUCCUCUACGAUAGAGAAACCUUUGUCACUCCUCUCACUGGGUCAACAGUAGAUAUCAUCUUUGUGGUCCAUAAACAACGUGACAUUUGGAUUAUUAGUCUGUAUUUUUAUGAGUCUUCCGUGCAUCAAUUUUUUUGGUAUUUUAGAUAAUGGUAGAUUUUGAGGAAGAGAAAGACAACAUGACAUUUAAUUCUUGUUUUAUACUACAAACUUGUGCUAGAUAUUAUAAGAAGGGUUUUGAGUAUGAUCAACCUAAGCGUUUCCUAAUUAAAAAAUAAUUUUCUUUUCCAAAAAUAGAACUUAAAAACCAUUUUUAAAAGUUUAAAACGUGACUAAUUUUAUUAAUUUAAUAAAUAUUUCUGAUAAAAAUUAUUUUUUUAGUUAUUUAAUAUAUUAUCCAAAACACCUAAAUUAUGUACAAUGGAAGUCAUAUAAGUUAAAUGAUCAAAUUAAUGUCAAUACAUAAAAAGGGGUAACAAAUAAAAUAUCAUAACUAAAACUUAAUUUGUUACUUUAUGUUUUAUUUGUAGGACUCAAUCCCAAUAGUUAUAACAAGUAUAAAUUGUUUUCCAUUAUUUUUUUAUUUUAAUAAUCGUGGAUUUCUGAUCCAGUUUAUACACACCUCAACUAAUCCCACGGGGAGCAAACCUAAUACCGGACCAACUGAGCUACCCCUCAAGCCUAUUGUUUUGCAUCAUUUUUACAUCGUAUAAUUAUAUAACAAGUAGUCAUCAAAUGUAUUACAAAUAGUUAUUGAUAUUAAAUCUAAAAAAAAAAGGGUAUUUAAAUUGGCAUUUGCUAUGUAAAUAGCAUAAAAGAAAUUAGGAAAAGUAGGAAGAAGAAAAAUAGUAUACUUCCAAUUAUUGAUUUGAAAAUCUAGCCCAUGAUCUUGGAUAUCCCAUAAUAUAUUUAGCAACUUCUUGAAUCCUCUUAAAGAAACCAAAAACUCUUUUCUAAAUCUAAUAUAUUUGUUUAAUUUUGUUUAAAGAACUUAUAAUUAAAAAAAUAACAUAAAAAUGAGAUAAAUAUUAUUUCUUAUAAAAAAAUAUUUUAAAUUGUACAAAAAGUUGUUUGAUUUUUUAUGAAUUAUUUAUAACCCCCCAUAUUAUCUUAUAAAAGUUGUAAAUUUAACUUCAAUUUCCACUUCAAUCUAAAGCAAAUAAAAGGCGCAGGAAACUAACACCAAUUAAAAACCCCUUAAAUUUAAACCAAACAGCUCUAAAUUAAUAAAAGACUUGACGGGAGAGUACAGAGAAGUCUCACAUUUUCCAUUAGUCACAUAAAGAUGUGACUUACCUGAUACAUACAUAUAAUGGAUAAUCAUUGAAAGGUGGGAUCAAUCGGAAACAAACUCGAUCUCAAUUCCACCAAUGGUGACAUCAUCGCCCCCAGCACGAGGGACUAUAGUCACGAUCACACUCUCAUCAUCUUCGGCUCCCAAGUCCUCUAACAGCUCAUUUAUCGCCAACCUCAGAUUGGUCUUCGUCUUCAUUUCUUUCAUAUGCUUGUGUGGUACGUUCACAAAGCUUCCUGCAAACUCACUAUUCUUAGGCCUACUCACUGAAUAAUCUUCGUCGUUGAUGUACACAUCAAACUUCACGAAAUUCUCUCUAUCUAGCUCUAUUCCUUUUAUCAGUAACACCUCUUCCUCGUCCUCUUUCUCCUUCUUGCUUCUUGAUUUCUUUGGCCUUGGAACUUCUACUCUUAUCACUGAGUUAAGAGCUUUUGGGAAGUCUCCGAUGCUGCUGAUCGUCGUCUUUGGGAGUUCGGCCGCUUUCGCUACUCCCGACUUGGAACUUUUGGUGGUCGUCUUCGCUUUGGCCUUCGUAUUUUUUGGUAGCCAUGGGAUUGAAUAUCCUGAUAUUGGUAUCUCAGCUUGGAAGUGUCGACACAGUCCGAGACCUUGACUUUAACAAGUNNNNNNNNNNNNNNNNNNNNNNNNNNNNNNNNNNNNNNNNNNNNNNNNNNNNNNNNNNNNNNNNNNNNNNNNNNNNNNNNNNNNNNNNNNNNNNNNNNNNCAUUGAAGUNGAGAUAGUAACGGUGGAAAGGGAGGAAAAGCCAUGAAGCAUGAACCUGGAGUUCUAGGUCGGUAUACCCAACCUGAUCAUAAGCCCCUUGGCAAUAGGUGCAAUGGACAUUAGCCUGUUGCUUGAAACUACGCGGAUCAUCAUCAGGAAGAGCUUUCUGCAGCUCAAUGGCCUUUUUAUACUUGGCUAAGUACUCUUUGCUGACCAAGUGAGCAGCUGGCCUGGUACGCAUGGGGGAACCUGAGGAAGGUAGCUGGAAAUCUAUAAUCUUUGUGGUGACUGGCGGGCAACAAUUGUGGGCGUUACACCAUCAGGCACGGUGGCGGUACCACACUUGGAUAUAUCCGGUGCCUGGAUGGGAGCCCCAAAGGCUAAUGGCUUAGUGGCGCCGAGACCGGCAGCAGCACCAUACAGCCCUCCUAUGCCAAGAAGCACAUUCCUCCUAUCUAACUUCCCUGGGGAAGUUUCUCGAAUGUCGGAGGUAGAAUCCGAGUUUGGAUCACCAUUCGCAGCAUUGCACGACACCUUACUAGGAGCAAAUCUGCGGCUUCGGUUUCUGGCUAUGGGGACAUGAGAAACCCUGUGAAACAAGGGAGAAGGUGGCAAGGCUGAAAUGUUGGUGGUGUUGGCGAUGGCGGUGGAGGUUGUGAGCGACCAAGGCAAAGAAGCCAUAGCUUUAGAGGAGAAGUGAUGAGUGAUAACGCGCUAAGGCCUCGGUCUCCAUAUAUAAUGAAGAGGGGUAGGCAUUUUUACCUUGGAGAAUCGAGAUGCUGGGAAAAUGCUUGUCGUAGAAAAGUCGAUAAAUAAAAAGAUGAGAAGGACAAGGAAAAUUGAUUUUCUGCAUCCGCGUGGGCCCCGGAAAUCUCCCACUAUCCAUUUGUAGCCUUGCUUUUGCUACAUGCUUAUCUUCAAUAUUGACUGUAAAUGCUGCAUCGUCGUAUGGAUUACAAAUUUAUAAGUGCGAAUUUUAUAAGUUUAAGAUUUCAGACACGUGUUGUGAGUGCAGAGAAAAAGGAGGGGUGGAUUUUUGGGAUUUAUGUUUGUGGUUUAUUAGACGACGUCAUAUGGAUUAUAAGUGCGAAUCUUAUAACUUUAAGAUUUCAGACACGUGUUGUAUUGGUUGGCAAUCAUAAGAUUCCGUACCUACCUUGAUAAAAUUAUGUUAUAUUAAAUAUAAAGUAAAUUGUUUUAAUAAAAUUAAACAAAAAUAUUUUUAUAUCAAAUUAAAAAUAUCAAUAGUAUAAUUUCAUAUAUUAUUUUUUAAAAAAAUCAUAUAAGUUUAUUAACUACUUACAUAUUUUUAAUAAAUAUAAAAUAAAAAUAAUAUAAUACAUUUAUUUUAAAAAAUAAGUUUAUGACCAUAGUUGAUAAUUACAACUUUAAAAUCAAAUUCAAAAUAAUAGUUAUCAAUUAUGAUUUUNNNNNNNNNNNNNNNNNNNNNNNNNNNNNNNNNNNNNNNNNNNNNNNNNNNNNNNNNNNNNNNNNNNNNNNNNNNNNNNNNNNNNNNNNNNNNNNNNNNNAGCCAUGAAGCAUGAACCUGGAGUUCUAGGUCGGUAUACCCAACCUGAUCAUAAGCCCCUUGGCAAUAGGCGCAAUGGACAUUGGCCUGUUGCUUGAAACUACGCGGAUCAUCAUCAGGAAGAGCUUUCUGCAGCUCAAUGGCCUUUUUAUACUUGGCUAAGUACUCUUUGCUGACCAAGUGAGCAGCUGGCCUGGUACGCAUGGGGGAAUCUGAGGAAGGUAGCUGGAAAGGUAUAGGCUUUGUGGUGACUGGCGGGCAACAAUUUGUGGGAAUUACACCAUUAGGCACGGUGGCGGUACCACACUUGCGUAUAUCCGGUGCCUGGAUGGGAGCCCCAAAGGCUAAUGGCUUAGUGGCGCCGAGACCGGCAGCAGCACCAUACAGCCCUCCUAUGCCAAGAAGCACAUUCCUCCUAUCUAACUUCCCUGGGGAAGUUUCUCGAAUGUCGGAGGUAGAAUCCGAGUUUGGAUCACCAUUCGCAGCAUUGCACGACACCUUACUAGGAGCAAAUCUGCGGCUUCGGUUUCUGGCUAUGGGGACAUGAGAAACCCUGUGAAACAAGGGAGAAGGUGGCAAGGCUGAAAUGUUGGUGGUGUUGGCGAUGGCGGUGGAGGUUGUGAGCGACCAAGGCAAAGAAGCCAUAGCUUUAGAGGAGAAGUGAUGAGUGAUAACGCGCUAAGGCCUCGGUCUCCAUAUAUAAUGAAGAGGGGUAGGCAUUUUUACCUUGGAGAAUCGAGAUGCUGGGAAAAUGCUUGUCGUAGAAAAGUCGAUAAAUAAAAAGAUGAGAAGGACAAGGAAAAUUGAUUUUCUGCAUCCGCGUGGGCCCCGGAAAUCUCCCACUAUCCAUUUGUAGCCUUGCUUUGCUACAUGCUUAUCUUCAAUAUUGACUGUAAAUGCUGCAUCGUCGUAUGGAUUACAAAUUUAUAAGUGCGAAUUUUAUAAGUUUAAGAUUUCAGACACGUGUUGUGAGUGCAGAGAAAAAGGAGGGGUGGAUUUUUGGGAUUUAUGUUUGUGGUUUAUUAGACGACGUCAUAUGGAUUAUAAGUGCGAAUCUUAUAACUUUAAGAUUUCAGACACGUGUUGUAUUGGUUGGCAAUCAUAAGAUUCCGUACCUACCUUGAUAAAAUUAUGUUAUAUUAAAUAUAAUGUAAAUUGUUUUAAUAAAAUUAAACAAAAAUAUUUUUAUAUCAAAUUAAAAAUAUCAAUAGUAUAAUUUCAUAUAUUAUUUUUUUAAAAUAAUCAUAUAAGUUUAUUAACUACUUACAUAUUUUUAAUAAAUAUAAAAUAAAAAUAAUAUAAUACAUUUAUUUUAAAAAAUAAGUUUAUGACCAUAGUUGAUAAUUACAACUUUAAAAUCAAAUUCAAAAUAAUAGUUAUCAAUCAUGAUUUUAACUUUAAAUUUAAAAUCGUAAUUAGUGACUAUAAUAUUAAUUAUAAUUUUGAAUUUUUUAUCAAAUAUUCAAAGUCGCAAUCACCACUUACGAUUUUAAGUUUAAAAUUAAAAUAGUGGUUGUUGAUUAUGAUUUUGAUCAUUUUAAAAAAAAUUAAAAUCAUAGUCAUCAACUACAAUUUUAUGACAUGAAGAAUUACGAUAUUAUGAUAUGAAUGCCUAUAUCAUGGAGACAUAUAUCACCUUUUUUUUGAAUAAAAAUACAUAGCCUAAAUUAUUAUCUCCACCAAUUUUCUUUAUUAUCUUUGAAAAAACAAACCUUUCAAUGUAGGGACGUUGAAUAUGGUUAAAGAGUGAAAUUGGUUAUCUUGUAUGAAUAUUUAUAUAGGAAUAAACUAAGGUAUCAACUAUGUACUUGGGGAGCUCUCCAUCUUUAUCAUGUGUGUAUAGAAAACUAAAAAUUGUUGAAUGAAAAUACAAAUAAUGCGAAUAAGAUAUAAAGAAUUGAAUCAAAUAUGAUAAAACAAGAUUAAAGUAUAAAUACAUAAUUGCGGUAUAAAGCAAAACAUGCCAAGAAAUGGUCCGCUUACAAUAUAGAAAUGUACUUACCAAAAAAAAACAACACCAAUCAAGCGUUGCAGCGUAUACAUUUUCAAGUUUCAUUUUUUUCUACCCUCAUUCAAGAUCUCGAUCUUGUCAUACAUAUUUAAUAGUCUAAAUUUUUUAUUUUGUAAUUAUGACUACAAUGCCUUAACUUUUGUCAAGAAAAGUAUAAAGGAAAAAAUAUAUAUUAAGAAAAAUGUUAUUUAUUUUGGGUGAAACUUAUAUUUUCUAAAAAUUAUUUAAUUUUUAUAUACAAUAGUUAAUAUGAGUAAAAUAAGUUUAAACUAAUAUAUAAAAAUAAUUUAUUAAUUUUAAUUUACUUGUAGAUACUUCUUCAAUAUUGUAGCUAGACUAGACAUGGUAUUAUUUUCAAUUCAAUCACAGUUAUUAUUAAGUCAUGUGAAAGUUGUUUUAUGUCCGCAAUUUAGGGAAAAAUACG
Molecule: long non-coding RNA, 8139 nt
Filed under: Vitis vinifera (wine grape)
Lineage: Eukaryota; Viridiplantae; Streptophyta; Magnoliopsida; Vitales; Vitaceae
Description: long non-coding RNA (VVIN_LNC007762)
Source: RNAcentral